This 269-nucleotide ribosomal RNA is filed under the name uncultured prokaryote. Its description in RNAcentral is "partial 16S ribosomal RNA". It matches the Rfam family "Bacterial small subunit ribosomal RNA", at positions 524 to 792 of the family's 1533-position model. The record is from RNAcentral.
UACGUAGGGGACGAGCGUUGUCCGGAAUUAUUGGGCGUAAAGAGCGCGCAGGUGGUUGAUUAAGUCUGAUGUGAAAGCCCACGGCUUAACCGUGGAGGGUCAUUGGAAACUGGUCGACUUGAGUGCAGAAGAGGGAAGUGGAAUUCCAUGUGUAGCGGUGAAAUGCGUAGAGAUAUGGAGGAACACCAGUGGCGAAGGCGGCUUCCUGGUCUGUAACUGACACUGAGGCUCGAAAGCGUGGGGAGCAAACAGGAUUAGAUACCCCGGUA